RNA transcript from Scylla paramamosain (green mud crab), 3372 nucleotides. It is a transcript of the gene named peroxidase-like protein 3, with no coding region annotated. Lineage: Eukaryota; Metazoa; Arthropoda; Malacostraca; Decapoda; Portunidae. The transcript has 8 exons. The record is from RefSeq and is a predicted model, not a curated record.
UUGUCUCAUUAAUAACCUAGACAGACAUGUAAAAAUGUGGGGGUGAAUGGUCCCUUGUCUGGGCUGCCCUGUGUGGGAUUGCCAGCCUGGUGUAGAGAUAGAUACAUAGAGAAAAAUUAAUGGUGUUUAUCUAUGCAGGAAUGUGGAUGCCAAUGAGUGUGGAUGACAUUGAUCUGUUCACGGGAGGCCUGGCUGAGAAGCCAAACCGAGGGGCACUAGUGGGGCCGACCUUUGGCUGUCUAAUUGGCAGACAGUUCCACUACCUGAGACGAGGCGACCGCUAUUGGUACGAGAAUGACAUCCCCCCAUCCUCGUUCACUAAAGGUGGCCUGGCUCAGUCAACGAUGCAAGAAUACUAGAUAAGUCAGCACUCAAACUGAUGUUUGAGGAACAACAUGUACCUGCAGGAUGCUACCUUCCCGGGGACAGUGGCUAUCCCUGUAAGCAGUGGCUCCUCACUCCUUACCUUCGCCCUCAAACUGUUGCACAAGCUAAUUAUAACAGGUGGGUUUAUUUGUAAAUAGUGUUCUGUUAGGUUUAGAUAUGCUUUGAACGAAUCUAGUAGCUUUCUCCCCAGGGCCGCCCUCCCGCGUGUGCCCGCAGCCCCUACAAGAACCGGUCCCUGCCCCCCUUUGGGCACGCUCUCCUCCCAAGGCUAAGUCCCCGGGGCGUGGCCGCCCAAACUAACCCCCCUCCUCCCAACAGUUCCAGUACCUUACGAUGCAGCCGAGGGGACUGACGCCACCACCACCACUGCCACCACCGCCACAACAAGGGUUAUUCAAAUGUGGAACAUGCUUCAGGUGUUGCCCCAAGAUGCCUCAGCCCCGCAGCCCCACUUCCCUAUGAUAGUGCAGGCAGGGAAUGUCAUACAGGUUGUUCCAGCUGACAACACGCAGGUAUUAGGGGCAGAAGUCGUUGGAGUUGGUCGGGUCAUGCAAGUGGUCGGAGUCCCAGGCUUUCCCCCGACCCCAGCCCCAGACCCCUGCCCCAGCCACCCCUCUCCCUGUGACCCCUGCCCAGUCAUCCCUCACCCCCUCCUGCCCCCAUGCGGUGCUGCCAGCGGGGGUGAUGGGAGGUGGAGGUGGGCCACACACACCUGGGUUAGCUGUGGCUUGGCUUAUCUCCCUCCUCAGCAGCAAAUCCCGAGGAUCAACGAGGACAUGGUGGACCCAGAGAUUGCAGCAGCAGCAAGAGAGAGAGAGAGAAGCAAGAGAGGAGGGAGAGGAAGGAGAGGAGGAGGAGAGAGAGGGAGGCCAGGAGGGAGGCACGUCAGAGAGAGAGGGAGAGGAAGAGGUUGAUUCUGUUACAACAACAACUGCAACAACAACAACAGUUAGUCAGUGAGGAGGGGGAGGGGCCGUCCUCUGAUGCUGAGGAUGAGGUAUUGUUCAGGGAGGCCAUGUCGGAGGUGCCGGUGGUGGGGUCGCCAGUUCCGGAGUACGAGGUGGAGGAGGAAAAGGAAGAGGAGGACGAGGAGGAGGCACGGAUAAGGAAGAAGAAAAGAUUAUUAGCUGUAGCCCUCCCUCCAGCUGAUAAGGGGAUAUUAAGGAGCCCUUCCUACAGGUUCGUUCGAUGCAAGGAGUUGGCACAGGAGGCGUCCGAGGCUGUGUAGAGCGGCCGUCUGAACCUGGUGCCACAGCUUACUAUGUUCAACAGAUGCCUGAAGGAAGUGUGUGUAAGGGAGGAUAAAGAGAUCAUGCUGGCCUAUGCAGACGAUGUCGCUGUCGUGACAGGAAGCCAACAAGAUCUUCAAGAGGCCAUGACAAGAUGGAAUGAUGUUUUAAAUAGGGAAGGAAUGAGAAUGAACAAACAAAAAACUUAUUUACUAGUGGACAAGCAACAAGUGAUGGUGUGGCUCUGAGCCACUGUAGUAGGGAUGUUAUGGUUUAAGUGUAGGAAGUUGCAAAUGCUCACCUAACAAUUGCACCUUAGUAGAAAAACACAAACAGGAAGUUUAUGCAAGUUUUUAUCCUUAUAUAAAAUGUUGUAUUGCAUCAAACCUCCAUACAUUACUGUCUCUAUCCAGUAUGAGACCGGUGUUCAGGAAGCACAAGCAUGUGCUGAAUAACAAGAAGCCGGCAUUGGUGAAGGUGACAACAUUUCAUCUAUUUAUACAUACUUUUUAUUAUUAAAGCUUAUCUUAUAAUUAUUUCUGAAGAGAUUGACUAAUUUUUGUAGUAUUUAUGACUUAGAACUAUGAUAAAGCUAUGAAUUGAUAUAAUUCCUGAUUUGUUUUAUCUUUUCAUUAUCCUUCCUUUGUUAAUUGAGCAUUUUAUAUUACUUAGCUUAAAAAUGCAAGAACGGUUCAGAAGUAUCCAACCUUGGGCUAAGGGCCAAAAUUAUGGUAUCAUUCAAAAUGUCCUUCAAAGAAAGCCCUCUGUAAUCCAACACACUUAGCCCAUUAAUCCUUCCAUUUCUCAUCAAUUUGUUCAACAUUCAUAUUUUUUCCCUUAUAGGGUUGAACAAUUUUCAUGGGUUCAGAGCAAAAGGCUUCCUCAUUCCUCCCCAAGGUAUUCUCGGAUGGUAAGCAGGUUUGACUCUGGAGCAAACCUGACCAAGGGCUACUGCCCAAGGCUACAGAGGUUCCUCUCCCUGAGGCUGAAUGCACCAUGUGAGAUGGUUCUGUUAUGUGGAUGAAUGUCAUGGUGGAUAGCAGUGCCACCACAUUCCUACAAUCAUCCAUCACUCCACUGCUCAAACGCUUCUGCAACCAAUGAUAGGUAUGCUGCCACAUUCUGCAUGGUCUCCUUGGCUCUCAGAUAAGGAUACUGUCAACAGGUUUGGGAUUGCCAAAAAAUCAUAAGGAGCUAUGUCUGAAAAGUCCAGAGAGAGAGAGAGAGAGAAAGAAUGAGCAAGAGAAAGAGUAGGAUGAAGCAAAGGAAGAGUCAAGAGGGAGGAAGAGAGAGUAGGACAAGAAAAAACAGAACAAAUAAAUCCCCUACACGUCUUGUCUCCAUUCACACAAGCCAUGAAAAGCUUGUCCAUCCCUGAGUGCUCAGAAGCAGUGUUCCACUGAUGAUGUGGAAACUUGAGACACCCAAUCAUUUAAUGGGCUUUAGUAGGUUUUGUCACCAGUCUUCUGUGUGUCACUGACUACAUUUUGAAAUUUUUAUCUGUUCUAUUUAAUUUUGUGUGUAUGUACACAAUGUUUAUGGUCAAUAAACUAUUUAUAAAACUAUUUAUCUGUGUGAGUAAGAUAAAAGCAGUUAUUGUUAUUAUUAUUAUUAUUAUUAUUAUUAUUAUUAUUAUUAUUAUUAUUAUUAUUAUUACACAUUUUCCUCCUUGUAUUUAAAUAUUAUUAUUAUUAUUAUUAUUAUUAUUAUUAUUAUCAUGAAUUGUUCUUGUUUAUAAAUAAAAUACUGUAACUGA